Molecule: ribosomal RNA, 448 nt
Filed under: uncultured bacterium
Lineage: Bacteria
Description: bacterial LSU rRNA
Rfam family: Bacterial large subunit ribosomal RNA
Source: RNAcentral
AGCGUUGAAAAGCUCUUGGAUGAGUUGUGGGUAGGGGUGAAAGGCCAAUCAAACUGGGAAAUAGCUCGUACUCCCCGAAAUGCAUUUAGGUGCAGCCUUGUGACAGUUUUACAGAGGUAGAGCUACUGAUUGGAUGCGAGGGCUUCGCCGCCUAUCAAAUCCAGACAAACUCCGAAUGCUGUAAAAUGAUUCACAGGAGUGAGGGCAUGGGUGCUAAGGUCCAUGUCCGAGAGGGAAAGAACCCAGACCAUCAGCUAAGGUCCCCAAGUAUAUGCUAAGUUGAAUAAACGAGGUCCGGUUGCAGCGACAGCUAGGAUGUUGGCUUGGAAGCAGCCAUUCAUUUAAAGAGUGCGUAACAGCUCACUAGUCGAGCGACUGGGCAUGGAUAAUAAUCGGGCAUAAGCAUAUCACCGAAGCUAUGGAUUUGUAGCAAUACAACUGGUAGGGG